GUCCACGCCCUAAACGAUGUCUACUAGUUGUCGGGUCUUAAUUGACUUGGUAACGCAGCUAACGCGUGAAGUAGACCGCCUGGGGAGUACGGUCGCAAGAUUAAACUCAAAGGAAUUGACGGGACCCGCACAAGCGGUGGAUGAUGUGGAUUAAUUCGAUGCAACGCGAAAACCUUACCUACCCUUGACAUGGCUGGAACCCUGGAGAGAUUCGGGGGUGCUCGAAAGAGAACCAGUACACAGGUGCUGCAUGGCUGUCGU
Molecule: ribosomal RNA, 261 nt
Filed under: uncultured bacterium
Lineage: Bacteria
Description: partial 16S ribosomal RNA
Rfam family: Bacterial small subunit ribosomal RNA
Source: RNAcentral